This 71-nucleotide transfer RNA is filed under the name Chitinophagaceae bacterium. RNAcentral describes it as "tRNA-Gln". It matches the Rfam family "tRNA". From Rfam's summary of the family: Transfer RNA (tRNA) molecules are approximately 80 nucleotides in length. The record is from RNAcentral. Lineage: Bacteria; Pseudomonadati; Bacteroidota; Chitinophagia; Chitinophagales; Chitinophagaceae. RNAcentral also lists the same sequence under 5 other names.
UGACCCAUGGUGUAAUGGUAACACUACUGAUUUUGGUUCAGUCAUUUAUGGUUCGAAUCCAUAUGGGUCAA